RNAcentral lists this unclassified non-coding RNA (25 nucleotides) under Mus musculus (house mouse). RNAcentral describes it as "oocyte_clustered_small_RNA784". Lineage: Eukaryota; Metazoa; Chordata; Mammalia; Rodentia; Muridae. The record is from RNAcentral.
GCCACAUAUGUGGACAGCACCAUGG